This 376-nucleotide long non-coding RNA is filed under the name Cyanistes caeruleus (blue tit). RNAcentral describes it as "lncRNA (ENSCCEG00000015923.1)". The record is from RNAcentral. Lineage: Eukaryota; Metazoa; Chordata; Aves; Passeriformes; Paridae.
UAUUAAUUUCCUUUCCAGACAUUUUUGCAUCCUUCCCUUGUGAACUAAGGCUCAGUCACAAGUUUCAGUCUAUGCACUGAUCUCUCCCAAUCACUUGGCUUUUAUUUUGUGAAUGCAGAAGAGAAGUGAAAGAAGGAGGAAUAGGUUGGGUACCUGACAUAAAGACAGAUUAUCAAUAAUUCAGUUGUAAAGGACUACUUUCUAUGGAGUUGCACUGGAAACUUGUGAGAUUUGCUGAUGUAUGGCCUCAUUUGACCAGCCUGGCUCUGUCUCCAGAGGUUGGAAAGUAUGAGAGGAAAACCCAAGGAGCUGCAGACUUCCCCUCUUACAGAAAAGACAUUUUUCAGAGUUGGCCAAUAUAACUCUAGAACAUCCU